Molecule: long non-coding RNA, 948 nt
Organism: Daphnia pulicaria
Lineage: Eukaryota; Metazoa; Arthropoda; Branchiopoda; Diplostraca; Daphniidae
Exons: 3
Source: RefSeq, a predicted model, not a curated record
UGAGCGUUUCAGUGUCAAAUACUCGUCAAAACCGUCAAAACGUUUGAAUAAGGGUGAUCAAUUUUUUAAAUGGUUUCAAUCGAUAUCUUAAGUAUUGCUAGUUAAAGUGUAGUCUGCUGUGGUUUUCAGACCCGAAUGACACGAAGCUGCAUCAAAAAUUGCACAACAUAUAAAAUUUAAAAAAUGUGGUAGUCGUGUCAAAUUUGGUCGUGUCUGUUUUUAGAAUCGCUUAGUGCACGCCACAUGCUGUUUAAAGCAGGUAAAUAACACUAUAGGAGCUGAAACAGAAGAGUUAAACCUGAUCUAGAAAGUUUCUGAAAUGUUAUUUCCUAACAUUUAUCACGUAAGCCCCUAUGUUGAAUGUUGAUGCAUGGCCGUUUUUUUUCACCAUGUACUCAUGUACUAACAUUUUAUUUUGUGCAGAUUUUAGGUUAGAGUCAGCCAUUGUAACAACUCAGACAACAUACAACACAGUGACAUUCUUGGUCUGUGGUAACAAUAACAAGAUAUCCAAGUUUUGUUUGCGCUGUACCCAACAUCAGCAUCAAUCUCAGUAUCAUCACUUGACAAACUGCAUCCUGUUUGAAUGGAAAAACUAUCGAUGAUGUUGUUCGAGUUCUUCCCCUUUUCUCCCUUUUCCAUGUGAGUGCUGUGGGGUAUUCACAAGGUCCUCCUUUAGCUAUCCCGCCUGGUGGAUAUUAAACUUUUCAGCGGAUGGAUGAAGAACUUCUAUGGAUGGAUGCCUGGCCGUAUUUCCCAGGCUUAAAGACGCCCUCACUUUCCAUGUAGUGAAUAGCAUUUUGGAAAACCAUCAAUACCAACAAUCCUGAUCGGAGAAGACUGAAAUAGCACAGCAACAGUUGUUACAGUCACGUUGCUUGUUUCUUUGCUCACGUAGCCAUCGGCCUACCAGUCCCGCCACGAAGCUGUACUUCCCAUCAAGUUAAA